Molecule: RNA transcript, 480 nt
Organism: Carassius auratus (goldfish)
Lineage: Eukaryota; Metazoa; Chordata; Actinopteri; Cypriniformes; Cyprinidae
Gene name: meiosis expressed gene 1 protein homolog
Exons: 3
Source: RefSeq, a predicted model, not a curated record
UAUCUAUCCUACACAGAAUUAAUGUCCUGCUCAGUUUUAAUGGAUAACAGCGCCAAGCCGAGGUCCAUGAGCCGAGCAAAGCAGUGGACAGAAGAGAUCGAGAACCUGUUCAGAUUUCAGCAAGCUGGAUACAGAGAUGAGCUGGAGUACCGACAAGUCAAACAAGUCCAGAUUGACCGUUGGCCGGACACUGGGUUUGUGAAGAAGCUUCAGCGUCGAGAUAACACAUUUUACUACUACAACAGAAAGCGGGAGUGUGAAGACCGAGAGGUCCAUAAAGUGAAGGUGUAUGUGUACUGACAGCUCCUCGACCCCACCAGCACUUAUGCCAUUUUAAUGCAUGAUAAGAGUUGUCCUACUGUACUCUUAAUGUAACCCAACUGUGAAUAUGUCCUGCCUCUGAAUUGCUUGCCGUGAGGAGCAAACCCAAGCUAAAGAGCAGCGGACAUGCACUGCCGUCCUCCGCUUCACAGGGGGAGC